CAAAACUGUUAUUUAUUUUAAAGCUUAUUCAUUUUUAUUUAUUAAAAAAAGCCAAGCUUGUUGUGCAAUAUUUAGUUUUUUUUUUUUAUAUAUUGUACCUUUAAAGUUAAUUUGUUAAGGUUAUUAGACUCUGUGGUUUAUACCUUUUAAUUUUAAUUUCAUUUUUAAUUAUUUAUUUUUUUAUUAUUGUUUUAAUUUAUUUUGGAAUAGUUAUCCUCUUUGCUAUAAAGCUUUUUUGGCACAAAAAUAAACAAUAAACAACAAUUCAAAAGUAUGUACACUGUUUCUAAUGUUUAUAAAGUGUCAUAUGUUAUAAAAGUAUAGUUCACACCAGGGGCGAGGCUACACAAGGGCCAGGGCGGCACUGCCCACCCAAUCAGAACAGACAUUAAAAAAAAGUGGGAAAGCAGAAAAAAUGCAUAUGUGACAAUACUAAUCACUUAAACACGUACAAGAAGUUUCAUAACAAAAUAAUUACUGAAGAUGCCUUGAACCAAGACAACUUUUUAGAUUCACGUGCACUGUAGUUCUCAUCGCCUAAAUUUGGUUCUGGCAUCGGCAUCAAAAGUUUCCAUUCAAGUAAGCACAUUUUCUGAUACACUGAAUUCUUUACAUGCAUUCAUGACGGGAAGCAUCCGACACAACUUCAUCCAAGUCGACAUUGUCUUGAGCUUGAACAUUGACAUUCGAUGGAGCUCUAAAUCAGGAUCUGUAAGCAAGGUGCUUAUUUUAUUUGAUUGUAUUUUAGAAUUACUUGCUGAAUGCACUGGAAGUAGCCACAGCCAUCACACGGUCUUCUACAACAGAUCCAAACGAAGAGGUUUGUUUUUUUGUUAGUCACAUUUGGGAAACUUUUUGAGUGCAGUGUCUUUGCCACAAAAGGACUGCAAAGCCGACUCAAUUCGGUCAUCAAUGGCAACUUCUCGCCUAAAGCACCUCGUCGUUCUCUCUCACGAGUGUGAGAUUACUGAGUCUGGAUUAUGAUGAAAUCAUUGCGAGUUACAACGCAAAGCCAAGGCGUCUACGGUUUGUUUAAGAUGACUUGUUUGGGCUCCGAAAAAAAUCUUAUUUGUAAGACAACAUUUAUUUCCAUAAUCGGAGAGUGUUUAUUUGUGUUAGAAAUUUCUUAUGGAUAUUAGAUCUUAAUGUAGAUGAAUUUAAAAGUAAAUUUGGGGAUCUUUGGGGAUGCUGCUGGUGCUGUACUGCAUAUUCACAUUUACCUUCACUCUCUCUCUCUCCCUCACUCACUCUCUCUCCCUCACUCACUCACUCUCUCUCUCUCUGUCUCUCUCCCUCACUCACUCUCUCUCUCUCCCUCACUCACUCUCUCUCCCUCACUCACUCACUCUCUCUCUCUCUGUCUCUCUCCCUCACUCACUCUCUCUCUCUCCCUCACUCACUCUCUCUCUCUGUCUCUCUCUCUCCCUCACUCACUCUCUCUCUCCCUCACUCACUCACUCUCUCUCUCUCCCUCACUCACU
Long non-coding RNA from Cyprinus carpio carpio, 1481 nucleotides. The record is from Ensembl. Lineage: Eukaryota; Metazoa; Chordata; Actinopteri; Cypriniformes; Cyprinidae.